This 443-nucleotide ribosomal RNA is filed under the name uncultured bacterium. Its description in RNAcentral is "partial 16S ribosomal RNA". It matches the Rfam family "Bacterial small subunit ribosomal RNA", at positions 338 to 795 of the family's 1533-position model. The record is from RNAcentral.
CCUACGGGAGGCAGCAGUGGGGAAUAUUGGGCAAUGGGCGCAAGCCUGACCCAGCAACGCCGCGUGAAGGAAGAAGGCGUUCGGGUUGUAAACUUCUUUUCUCAGGGACGAAGAAAGUGACGGUACCUGAGGAAUAAGCCACGGCUAACUCCGUGCCAGCAGCCGCGGUAAUACGUAGGUGGCAAGCGUUAUCCGGAUUUACUGGGUGUAAAGGGCGUGUAGGCGGGACUGCAAGUCAGAUGUGAAAACCACGGGUCCAACCUGUGGCCUGCAUUUGAAAAUGUAGUUCUUGAGUACUGGGGAGGCAGACGGAAUUCCUAGUGGAGCGGUGAAAUGCGUAGAUAUUAGGAGGAACACCAGUGGCGAAGGCGGUCUGCUGGACAGCAACUGACGCUGAGGCGCGAAAGCGUGGGGAGCAAACAGGAUUAGAUACCCUUGUAGUC